AGAGUUUGAUCCUGGCUCAGAACGUACGCUGGCGGCACGCCUAACACAUGCAAGUCGAACGAAGUAGCAAUACUUAGUGGCAGACGGGUGAGUAACAUGUAGGUAUCUGCCCUUUGGCCUGGAAUAACACGAGGAAACUUGUGCUAAUACCGGAUAAGUCUUUACGGAGAAAGCUUUAUGCACCAUUGGAUGAGCCUGCACUUGAUUAGUUUGUUGGUGGGGUAAUGGCCUACCAAGACUGUGAUCAAUAGCUGAUUUGAGAGGAUGAUCAGCCACAUUGGGACUGAGACACGGCCCAAACUCCUACGGGAGGCAGCAGUGGGGAAUCUUGCACAAUGGAGGAAACUCUGAUGCAGCGAUGCCGCGUGAGUGAAGAAGGCCUUUGGGUUGUAAAGCUCUUUCGUCGGGGAAGAAAAUGACUGUACCCGAAUAAGAAGGUCCGGCUAACUUCGUGCCAGCAGCCGCGGUAAUACGAAGGGACCUAGCGUAGUUCGGAAUUACUGGGCUUAAAGAGUUCGUAGGUGGUUGAAAAAGUUAGUGGUGAAAUCCCAGAGCUUAACUCUGGAACUGCCAUUAAAACUUUUCAGCUAGAGUAUGAUAGAGGAAAGCAGAAUUUCUAGUGUAGAGGUGAAAUUCGUAGAUAUUAGAAAGAAUACCAAUUGCGAAGGCAGCUUUCUGGAUCAUUACUGACACUGAGGAACGAAAGCAUGGGUAGCGAAGAGGAUUAGAUACCCUCGUAGUCCAUGCCGUAAACGAUGUGUGUUAGACGUUGGAAAUUUAUUUUCAGUGUCGCAGGGAAACCGAUAAACACACCGCCUGGGGAGUACGACCGCAAGGUUAAAACUCAAAUGAAUUGACGGGGACCCGCACAAGUAGUGGAGCAUGUGGUUUAAUUCGAAGAUACGCGCAGAACCUUACCAACACUUGACAUGUUCGUCGCGACUCUAAGAGAUUAGAGUUUUCGGUUCGGCCGGACGAAACACAGGUGCUGCAUGGCUGUCGUCAGCUCGUGUCGUGAGAUGUUGGGUUAAGUCCCGCAACGAGCGCAACCCUCACUUUUAGUUGCCAUCAUUAAGUUGGGCACUCUGAAAGAACUGCCAGUGAUAAGCUGGAGGAAGGUGGGGAUGACGUCAAGUCCUCAUGGCCCUUACGUGUUGGGCUACACACGUGCUACAAUGGCAUCUACAACAGGAAGCAAAACGGCAACGUUAAGCAAAUCCCGAAAAGAUGCCUCAGUUCGGAUUGCACUCUGCAACUCGAGUGCAUGAAGCUGGAAUUACUAGUAAUCGUGGAUCAGCGUGCCACGGUGAAUGCGUUCCCGGGUCUUGUACACACCGCCCGUCACACCAUGGGAGUUGGUUCUACCUUAAGGCAAGGUUUUAAACCCUUGACCACGGUAUAGUCAGCGACUGGGGUGAAGUCGUAACAAGGUAACC
Molecule: ribosomal RNA, 1436 nt
Filed under: uncultured Pelagibacterales bacterium
Lineage: Bacteria; Pseudomonadati; Pseudomonadota; Alphaproteobacteria; Candidatus Pelagibacterales
Description: bacterial SSU rRNA
Rfam family: Bacterial small subunit ribosomal RNA
Source: RNAcentral